CCUACGGGUGGCAGCAGUGGGGAAUAUUGGACAAUGGGCGAAAGCCUGAUCCAGCCAUGCCGCGUGUGUGAAGAAGGCCUUCGGGUUGUAAAGCACUUUCAGUGGGGAAGAAAGCCUUGGGGCUAAUACCCUCGAGGAAGGACAUCACCCACAGAAGAAGCACCGGCUAACCCCGUGCCAGCAGCCGCGGUAAUACGGAGGGUGCGAGCGUUAAUCGGAAUUACUGGGCGUAAAGCGCGCGUAGGCGGUCUGAUAAGCCGGUUGUGAAAGCCCCGGGCUCAACCUGGGAACGGCAUCCGGAACUGUCAGGCUAGAGUGCAGGAGAGGAAGGUAGAAUUCCCGGUGUAGCGGUGAAAUGCGUAGAGAUCGGGAGGAAUACCAGUGGCGAAGGCGGCCUUCUGGACUGACACUGACGCUGAGGUGCGAAAGCGUGGGUAGCAAACAGGAUUAGAUACCCGAGUAGUC
This 465-nucleotide ribosomal RNA is filed under the name Vreelandella stevensii. RNAcentral describes it as "partial 16S ribosomal RNA". It matches the Rfam family "Bacterial small subunit ribosomal RNA", at positions 338 to 795 of the family's 1533-position model. The record is from RNAcentral. Lineage: Bacteria; Pseudomonadati; Pseudomonadota; Gammaproteobacteria; Oceanospirillales; Halomonadaceae.